UCGAGGGGCAGCAUAAUGGAUAGCAAUAUCUAUGGUGGCGACCGGCGCACGGGUGCGUAACGCGUAUGCAACCUACCUUUAACAGGGGGAUAACACUGAGAAAUUGGUACUAAUACCCCAUAAUAUCAUAGAAGGCAUCUUUUAUGGUUGAAAAUUCCGAUGGUUAGAGAUGGGCAUGCGUUGUAUUAGCUAGUUGGUGGGGUAACGGCUCACCAAGGCGACGAUACAUAGGGGGACUGAGAGGUUAACCCCCCACACUGGUACUGAGACACGGACCAGACUCCUACGGGAGGCAGCAGUGAGGAAUAUUGGUCAAUGGACGCAAGUCUGAACCAGCCAUGCCGCGUGCAGGAUGACGGCUCUAUGAGUUGUAACUGCUUUUGUACGAGGGUAAACGCAGAUACGUGUAUCUGUCUGAGAGUAUCGUACGAAUAAGGAUCGGCUAACUCCGUGCCAGCAGCCGCGGUAAUACGGAGGAUUCAAGCGUUAUCCGGAUUUAUUGGGUUUAAAGGGUGCGUAGGCGGUUUGAUAAGUUAGAGGUGAAAUUUCGGGGCUCAACCCUGAACGUGCCUCUAAUACUGUUGAGCUAGAGAGUAGUUGCGGUAGGCGGAAUGUAUGGUGUAGCGGUGAAAUGCUUAGAGAUCAUACAGAACACCGAUUGCGAAGGUAGCUUACCAAACUAUAUCUGACGUUGAGGCACGAAAGCGUGGGGAG
This 714-nucleotide ribosomal RNA is filed under the name uncultured bacterium. RNAcentral describes it as "bacterial SSU rRNA". It matches the Rfam family "Bacterial small subunit ribosomal RNA", at positions 62 to 768 of the family's 1533-position model. The record is from RNAcentral.